RNAcentral lists this ribosomal RNA (333 nucleotides) under uncultured bacterium. RNAcentral's name for it is "bacterial SSU rRNA". It matches the Rfam family "Bacterial small subunit ribosomal RNA", at positions 572 to 903 of the family's 1533-position model. The record is from RNAcentral.
CAGGCGGUUUGUUAAGUCAGAUGUGAAAUCCCCGGGCUCAACNUUGGGAACUGCAUUUGAAACUGGCAAGCUAGAGUCUCGUAGAGGGGGGUAGAAUUCCAGGUGUAGCGGUGAAAUGCGUAGAGAUCUGGAGGAAUACCGGUGGCGAAGGCGGCCCCCUGGACGAAGACUGACGCUCAGGUGCGAAAGCGUGGGGAGCAAACAGGAUUAGAUACCCUGGUAGUCCACGCUGUAAACGAUGUCGAUUUGGAGGUUGUGCCCUUGAGGCGUGGCUUCCGGAGCUAACGCGUUAAAUCGACCGCCUGGGGAGUACGGCCGCAAGGUUAAAACUCA